GGCCAAAGUAUUAAUCAUCGCUCACCCUCUUGAAGCCAGGCUCCAUACUCCCAGACAAAACAACCACAACAGGAGAUUCACUGCCAGUGACAAACAUCAAACCUUUCCAUAUGAUCAAGGCGGAUGUGACGAUCAUGCCUGAAAUAACAACAAGAUAAACAUUAUUUCCUUGACAUGAAUGCAUCAAUAUGUGGACAACUCAAAACACUCUAGAACCAAACUUAUUUUGCCAAACCAGAAAAAAAAAGGAGCUCCCAAAUUGUGAAGUCAAACAACACACAAAGGUGCCAAGAAAAGUACAGAUGUUGAGGGGGGCGAGGGGAAAGUGAGAGAAAGAGAGAAAAACUAUUGGUCGUCAUCUUUGAGCUGUUUCUUCAGGAGACCACUGUAAUCUCCUUGAUUCUGCCAUUUUUUCCACUAUUUAACAUCCAGGCGCAAAGCUGGGACAGAUAAUACCCUGUGAUGAAUUUGAUAUUGUUGAAGCAUCUAAUAACUCUAUGGUUUCGCAAGAAGAAAACUUGUAGAAAGAAAGAGCAUGAGGGUCAUUUUAGAGUGUAGUUUACAUCAGUUUUAGAGAGGAAGAGAAAUAAUAAACAGAAAUUCGAGUGAUUUAUUUAUAGAUGUGACGGUGCAAACGUACCGAAAAUUUUGGGAGACACGUUUCAUAAUUUAAGCUGAAAUAAACUCCAAAGUAACUUCGCAAGCUAAUUUUAUCUUGUAGCAAUCAACAAGGCAUGGUCAGCGUGUACAUAUGGACAAUAACUCAAUAGGAAAUAUUCGACACUUUUUUUCCUGUAUCAUCUCCAUUAAGUUUUCGAGACUAAGGUCCUAGUGCUGUAUUAAAAAUAUAUUUUUUAAUUCAUGUACAGACAUCACAAGCAGCCACAAAGAAUAAGAAAAUAAGAAACACUACAUCAUUCGAUAACACCCAUUAAUCUCACCGCAGACUGACAUACCGUCCGUCUACUGUUUCAAAUUGUCAGGCAUACGCAGUAUGAAAGAGAAAGAAAACAGAGAUCCGGGUAUAUCGACAAUUAAAACUCAGGAAAAUCAUCUGAAUGCUUCGCAAAAUCAAAAUAAAGAAGAGAUCUCGGGAAGUCGGCAAAAACGAAAUAGUUGAGGGUUUCGGGACCGAGACUAACGACUUGCGUCAGGACAUGCCUGAUCUGGAGCGAUCUUAUGGAAUCCAGGCUCUCGCUGACCCAACCCAUCUUCUCCCUCCCUCUCCCUCUCCCCCCAAAAACCUGCAGGUUCCCGCGUCAAACGAGAAGACGACCGGGAGAAGAAACAGAACAAGCUCCCCCCCUCCCGAUGUCUGAACGGCCACUUGAGCAGCUCUUUUAUGGAAACCCCUGUCAUGAAGACGACGACCGCAACCUCACGCGCCACUCUCUAGCGGGCCCAAUGGCCAAUAACUUGCCCCAAAAUUAAC
This 1432-nucleotide long non-coding RNA is filed under the name Spirodela polyrhiza (greater duckweed). Its description in RNAcentral is "long non-coding RNA (SPOL_LNC000276)". The record is from RNAcentral. Lineage: Eukaryota; Viridiplantae; Streptophyta; Magnoliopsida; Alismatales; Araceae.